GGGUCAAUGAUGAGAACCUUAUAUUGUCCUGAAGAGAAGUGAUGACUUAAAUAUCAUGCUCGGCUGGGCGCGGUGGCUC
Saimiri boliviensis boliviensis (Bolivian squirrel monkey) is the source of this 79-nucleotide small nucleolar RNA. RefSeq annotates it as small nucleolar RNA SNORD115. The record is from RefSeq and is a predicted model, not a curated record. Lineage: Eukaryota; Metazoa; Chordata; Mammalia; Primates; Cebidae.